AGCAGCGUGGCCUAGUAGAUAAAGCACGGGCCUGUGAGUCAGAAGGUCAUGGGUUCUAAUUCCAUCGCUGCCA
This 73-nucleotide transfer RNA is filed under the name Ornithorhynchus anatinus (platypus). It matches the Rfam family "tRNA". Rfam says of the family: Transfer RNA (tRNA) molecules are approximately 80 nucleotides in length. Their secondary structure includes four short double-helical elements and three loops (D, anti-codon, and T loops). Lineage: Eukaryota; Metazoa; Chordata; Mammalia; Monotremata; Ornithorhynchidae. The record is from Rfam by way of RNAcentral.